GGAUUGAACGCUGGCGGCAUGCCUUACACAUGCAAGUCGAACGGGAAGCGCGGGAGCAAUCCUGGCGGCGAGUGGCGAACGGGUGAGUAAUACUAUCGGAACGUGCCCAGUAGUGGGGGAUAGCCCGGCGAAAGCCGGAUUAAUACCGCAUACGACCUGAGGGUGAAAGCGGGGGAUCGCAAGACCUCGCGCUACUGGAGCGGCCGAUAUCAGAUUAGCUAGUUGGUGGGUAAAGCCUACCAAGGCAACGAUCUGUAGUUGGUCUGAGAGGACGACCAGCCACACUGGGACUCGAGACCACGGCCCGAGACUCCUACGGGAGGCAGCAGUGGGGAAUUUGGACAAGUGGGCGACAAGCCUGAUCCAGCAAUGCCGCGUGCAGGAAGAGCCGUUGGUGUAACUG
This 403-nucleotide ribosomal RNA is filed under the name uncultured soil bacterium. Its description in RNAcentral is "bacterial SSU rRNA". It matches the Rfam family "Bacterial small subunit ribosomal RNA", at positions 27 to 432 of the family's 1533-position model. The record is from RNAcentral.